This 1518-nucleotide long non-coding RNA is filed under the name Gadus morhua (Atlantic cod). RNAcentral's name for it is "lncRNA (ENSGMOG00000028323.1)". Lineage: Eukaryota; Metazoa; Chordata; Actinopteri; Gadiformes; Gadidae. The record is from RNAcentral.
AUGGAAAACGAAAUGCAAUGGUCUAUGCAGAAAAAUAUUAGCAACUAUGUGAAUAUUCUGGACCGAAUGACAGAAAAGUAUAUCAAAUUGAGCAAACGGAUUGGUGCAAAGGUGGUGGACUUCAAACAUGAAACAAAUGGAGACAUUGCACGGUCCAUAACAGCGACAGAGUUGGAGAUUUCCAGGAUAGAAGCAGAGAGGCCAACAAGUUGGAGGGAAUAUUCCUUCACAGAUGGCAACACGACAAAUGACUCCCAGAUUGAUUACCAGGUGAAGCAGUCCAAUGAGAGCGUUGAAAGUAAUGACUCUAUAAUUGAUGGGGUGUCUGAGAUGGACCAAACCCAGGCUUCUGGCAUUGGCCUGUUGGAUGAACCUCAGGGGAACCUGAUGGAUGUGUUGGUGCAGCCUGAAGACCAGAAUGAAGAGCUGGAACAAACUCUGAGUAGUCCUCGUAGCACUCUGAUGGAGCUGUUCCCCCAAAUGAUCACUCAGAUGGGGAAGACCUCUCCCCGGCAGAGGUACACAAAGAUGAGACCAAUUGGCAGCAAGGCCGGGACCGGCAAGCCCUCACCCAGGGGGGAUUGCCACGACCUCUGCCAAUCUGGUGAUGAACACAACCUGAAAGCAGCAGUUAAAAGCUGCGUGGCCAUGAUCCAUUCCCCUGUGCAAAGACAUUCCAACCUGACUCAGCCGCUGCAGGGUGUGGGAGCAUCUUCUGAGAGUGAGGCAGAACCGGGCGAGGAGAGAUGGCCAGUGGACGGAAUUUUCCUUGUUGAUGCAAAGCAAGGAGUCAAUGAACCAUACAUUCACUGUGUCCAAGGGUUCUCAUCCCUGUUCGCCUCUCUCUGGCAAACCUCAGGGACAAAGCCAUUCCACUGCAGUGCAAUCCCCAGCUCAGACCCUGAGGUUUAACAGAAGCAAUGGCCCUUAUGUGAUGGAGAGCUCAACUGUUCCCAAGACUCUGCAGAGCUUGUUAAAUACAAGGGGGAAGAACCAUAAUGGCUAUGGUGGAUCUCCCAAGGCUUUGGCAAGACAGAACCCUGUAUCAUCUUCUAUACAUGAGCAGCACUCCCGGUCACCAAAGAGAAGGCUCUACCAUCAGGAUUGUCACAGUCCCUCCCGGAUUAGAUCGGACUCCCUACAGUCGUCCCUCCGGCCAGGUGGAAUGUAUUCCCCUGCCAAAAUAGAAGAGGCGUUCAGAAAUCUUUACCACAAAGUUGUCUGUCUGGCCAAAGCUCCUCUCUCAAAAUGCUCUCCCUGUCGUUGCUCUGCUCGAAGAUUAGAGGCCAACAUUGGGAGCUCUUCUUCCCCUGCCUCUGCACCGUCACCUCUGGCCCUUUCCCCCCACCGCUCCAACCUGCGGAAGCGUGCCAGGGAGCUCGACUAGGACAGGUCUCCCACUUUCAAACACCCCUGGGGAUGGAACUCGUCCCCUGGCGCCAUUUCAAAGAGAGAAGACUGCAUCUGUAACAGUGCAGUCCUGAGUUGGUGUUCUACAUUAUUGCGUUGGAUUUUACG